Molecule: long non-coding RNA, 1303 nt
Filed under: Macaca fascicularis (crab-eating macaque)
Lineage: Eukaryota; Metazoa; Chordata; Mammalia; Primates; Cercopithecidae
Description: lncRNA (ENSMFAG00000061757.1)
Source: RNAcentral
UAAACUCAACAUCCACAAUUUAAUCUGAACAAUUGUUCUCCUCUAAAGCCCUUAUUUGAGGUAAAAUUAGAGAAAGAGUGUGUAAGAGAGAGAGAGAGAAAGAGAAAGAGAAAGAGAAAGAGAGAGCGACACUGCUGAGGUGAGCUAGAGAGAGACAGACCUGUCUGCAUUUCCUAGGUAGGGUAGAUGUCCCAGAAAAAUCAGAAAAAGGCGAGUACGUAGCCCUUAGCAUGGACCAUGGGCAACAGCUGUGAGAAGAUCUUAUGCACCACGGAUUUUUUUAAAACAGUCUUAUAAAUUCCACAAAUAUUUUGCCAUCAAUCUUGCCGUGUUAGUGUGCCCUUUAUUACUGACUACUGCCAUGCUCUAUUCUGUGGAAAAUCAAGCAUCCAUCCAACCCAAGCAAAAUCAGAGUGUUUUAGGAAAUGUGAAUUCAAUUGACCAGCACAUUUCAGACUAAACAUGGCCACUGCCUCUUUAUUUCCUGCACUUGUUUAGUUUACAAUUCACAUUUGGGUAUUUUCUCUUCAGUAACCCCAUUUCAUUAGAGGUCUCUGGAGUCCCUGAAUCUGUUUUGUUUACUUUAUUGGAUUUCUUCCAGGCUGUGUCUGAGAAAUCAUGACCGCUUUUGCUCAGUGCAACUGAGGACUCACUUGCUGUAAUCCAUCUACAGUAUGCCUUUGACCUCAGGACACCCCCUGAGCUGCUGUCCAGCUGCACUUCUAGCUGUGUAUUUCAGCUUCAGUGUUUUCCUCUGUUUUGCUGUUUUAUUACCAAAUUGGUCUACAUUGUAAUGCCUUAAAUAACAAGAUAUGUUCACUCUGCUUUCUAAAGAUACUCUUAGCUUUUUGUACUCUCAUUGACAAGUUAUGAGCCUUUUCACUGAAGAACCAUGCAGCCGUCCUCUUGCUCCAUUCCAAAGAUGCUCUCUUUGGAACCAGAAUCUUGAGCAAGAGUCUUCAUAUAAGAAUACUGGCAGUCGCUAUAUUAAAAAUUGUGAAAUUUUAGAGUGUCAUCUUUCCAAAAAAAAAAAAAUGAUGCUUCAUUAGCUAUUUGUGCUGAAGUCUGCCUGUAUGGUUAGGGGGGAAAAGAGAGAAAAAAAAUUCUAAUUUGAAUGCUGUAUUUUCUGUGCAGUGAUGGGCGUGUGGGUGUGUGUGUGUGUCUGUUAACCCUGGGAAAAUUUGAUCAUGAAUCCUUUACUUUCACAGUUAAAUUUGACUUGAACAGUUGCAUAUUCUUUUUCUGGUCCAUCUCAAUCUCUUUUAUGUUCUUUCUCUUAAUAAAACAUGUCUAUGGUUUCAAA